UACGUAGGGUGCGAGCGUUGUCCGGAAUUAUUGGGCGUAAAGAGCUCGUAGGCGGUGUGUCACGUCGGCCGUGAAAACCUGCAGCUUAACUGUGGGCGUGCGGUCGAUACGGGCAUCACUGGAGUUCGGCAGGGGAGACUGGAAUUCCUGGUGUAGCGGUGAAAUGCGCAGAUAUCAGGAGGAACACCGGUGGCGAAGGCAGGUCUCUGGGCUGACACUGACGCUCGAUGCACGAAAGCGUGGGGAGCAAACAGG
This 255-nucleotide ribosomal RNA is filed under the name uncultured bacterium. RNAcentral's name for it is "partial 16S ribosomal RNA". It matches the Rfam family "Bacterial small subunit ribosomal RNA", at positions 524 to 776 of the family's 1533-position model. The record is from RNAcentral.